RNAcentral lists this transfer RNA (76 nucleotides) under Pseudomonas aeruginosa. RNAcentral describes it as "tRNA-Gly". The record is from RNAcentral. Lineage: Bacteria; Pseudomonadati; Pseudomonadota; Gammaproteobacteria; Pseudomonadales; Pseudomonadaceae.
GAGACUCGAACUCGCGACCCCGACCUUGGCAAGGUCGUGCUCUACCAACUGAGCUAUUCCCGCAAUGGCGUCCCCU